Molecule: long non-coding RNA, 1073 nt
Filed under: Nicotiana benthamiana
Lineage: Eukaryota; Viridiplantae; Streptophyta; Magnoliopsida; Solanales; Solanaceae
Description: long non-coding RNA (NBEN_LNC026249)
Source: RNAcentral
UUACAAUCGACCCUUUGGCAAGGGUCAAAUAAAAAUGUCAAUUCUCCGUACCUACCUCCCUUAAGUAUUCAUGAAACCCCAAACUACUACUGUCACCUAAGUAGUAAAACCGGAACAAGUAAAAUCAAACAAAAAUUCAAAGAGCCAUGACACCAAAUCUGGCAAUUAGAAAGAUAAGUAAAGUUAGAGUGUGACUUUUUAAUAGCAACAAUUCCUUUCUUACUAUUGAAUUAGUACAGAACCUCGGCACAAGGUCAGCUAACAACAGCAAAACAACGAAAAUAAUCACAAACCACAAAUGAAACCAACCCAACUUCUUAAUCCAAAAGAAAAUGACAUAACCCACGUCGUGUGACUCCAAAUUCAUGCUAUCCAAACCAUGUUAUGAAAUUGAAGGGAGAUAGCAAUUAACAAUAGCGAGAACGUCAUUAAUAGAGCAUCGUAAUAAACAAAAACAGAAGAUGUAAAUGACAGAAUCGAAACUCAGACCUUAAACCGGGAAUAGAGAUUAACGAUCUCAAAUAGAACCUCAACGAAAUCACUCGACGAUGCUUCGGACAGUACCGCAAGCAGCAAACUCAAAGUUGACGUCUCCAGUGAGAUCUCGAAACCAAAACAAAAGCAGAAACCUUAGCGACCUCCUCUUGAGCUUUCUCGAAUGAGAUCGGCGGCAGUGAAUUAGGAAAUCGGGGGUUAAGGGUUAGGGUUAUUUAUGAGUUUUGAAGGGGUGGAGUGGUCGUUGCAUUUUGCUCUAGAUUCUAGCGAUUUAGGGUGGUCCUUUUGGGUGUGUUGAUGGCUGAAAAAAAAUGAAGACUUAGGUUUUUCAAUUCUAAGGAAUUCAAAAGCCAUAGGAACAGAGCACGGACAUGGUCAUACUUGAUACCUGAUUCUUUUUGGGGCUGGUUGUCUCCGGCAUGAGGGUGUCAUUUGGUCGGAGAAGAAGAAGAGUAGCGUGAGGGUGGCGGCUAGGUAUAGGUUUUGAGAUGAUUAGGGUUUUGUUUAUGUAUACGUAUAAUGAAAUGAAACAAAAAAUAUGAGGGGAAGAGGGUGGGGGCCGUGUAGUCAGAUUUGGA